This 468-nucleotide ribosomal RNA is filed under the name uncultured bacterium. RNAcentral describes it as "partial 16S ribosomal RNA". It matches the Rfam family "Bacterial small subunit ribosomal RNA", at positions 28 to 507 of the family's 1533-position model. The record is from RNAcentral.
GACGAACGCUGGCGGCGUGCUUAACACAUGCAAGUCGAACGGAAAGGCCCUGAUAUUGUGGUGUGCUCGAGUGGCGAACGGGUGAGUAACACGUGAGUACCCUGCCCUUGACUAUGGGAUCACUUCAGGAAACUGGAGAUAAUACCGGAUAGGAGCCCCUGCUGCAUAGUGGGGGUUGGAAAGGUUCGACGGUUGGUGAUGGACUCGCGGGUUAUCAGCUUGUUGGUGGGGUGGUGGCUUACCAAGGCGUUGACGGGUAGAGGGCCGUGGAGGGUGACAGGCCGCAAUGCGACUGCGAUACGGCCCAGACUCCUACGGGAGGCAGCAGUGGGGAAUAUUGCACAACAGGGGGAAGCCGGAUGCAGCAACGCCGCGUGCGGGAUGACGGCCGUCGGGUUGUAAACCGCUUUCGCCUGUGACGAAGCGGGAGUGACGGUAACUGGUAAAGAAGCACCGGCUAACUACGUG